RNAcentral lists this ribosomal RNA (496 nucleotides) under uncultured bacterium. RNAcentral describes it as "partial 16S ribosomal RNA". It matches the Rfam family "Bacterial small subunit ribosomal RNA", at positions 29 to 507 of the family's 1533-position model. The record is from RNAcentral.
AUGAACGCUGGCGGCGUGCCUAAUACAUGCAAGUCGAGCGAACAGACGAGGAGCUUGCUCCUCUGACGUUAGCGGCGGACGGGUGAGUAACACGUGGAUAACCUACCAAUAAGACUGGGAUAACUUCGGGAAACCGGAGCUAAUACCGGAUAAUAUAUUGAACCGCAUGGUUCAAUAGUGAAAGACGGUUUUGCUGUCACUUAUAGAUGGAUCCGCGCCGCAUUAGCUAGUUGGUAAGGUAACGGCUUACCAAGGCAACGAUGCGUAGCCGACCUGAGAGGGUGAUCGGCCACACUGGAACUGAGACACGGUCCAGACUCCUACGGGAGGCAGCAGUAGGGAAUCUUCCGCAAUGGGCGAAAGCUUGACGGAGCAACGCCGCGUGAGUGAUGAAGGUCUUCGGAUCGUAAAACUCUGUUAUUAGGGAAGAACAAAUGUGUAAGUAACUAUGCACGUCUUGACGGUACCUAAUCAGAAAGCCACGGCUAACUACGUG